GCCGGUGAAGUGUUGAUGGAUACACGUCUGGUUGUGGACCAGAAGUAGCGCGGAUCGUUACCGCCCAUCGGUUCCA
Molecule: transfer RNA, 76 nt
Filed under: Rhodobacter phage RcXuper
Lineage: Duplodnaviria; Heunggongvirae; Uroviricota; Caudoviricetes
Description: tRNA-His
Source: RNAcentral